RNAcentral lists this ribosomal RNA (278 nucleotides) under uncultured Leptolinea sp. Its description in RNAcentral is "partial 16S ribosomal RNA". It matches the Rfam family "Bacterial small subunit ribosomal RNA", at positions 1090 to 1382 of the family's 1533-position model. The record is from RNAcentral. Lineage: Bacteria; Bacillati; Chloroflexota; Anaerolineae; Anaerolineales; Anaerolineaceae.
UAACGGGCGCAACCCUCGCUGUGUGUUACAAGUGUCACACGGUACUGCCGGUCUUAAGCCGGAGGAAGGUGGGGAUGACGUCAAGUCAGCAUGGCCUUUAUGUCCUGGGCUACACACACGCUACAAUGGCCAACACAAUAGGUUGCUAAGCCGCGAGGUGGAGCCAAUCCUCAAAGUUGGUCUCAGUUCAGAUUGCAGGCUGCAACCCGCCUGCAUGAAGAUGGAGUUGCUAGUAACCGCAGGUCAGCUAUACUGCGGUGAAUACGUUCCCGGGGCUU